This 253-nucleotide ribosomal RNA is filed under the name uncultured bacterium. RNAcentral's name for it is "partial 16S ribosomal RNA". It matches the Rfam family "Bacterial small subunit ribosomal RNA", at positions 524 to 776 of the family's 1533-position model. The record is from RNAcentral.
UACGUAGGGUGCAAGCGUUGUCCGGAAUUAUUGGGCGUAAAGGGCGCGUAGGCGGCCCGGUAAGUCAAAGGUGAAAUCCCUCGGCUCAACUGAGGAACUGCCUUUGAAACUGUCGGGCUUGAGGCCGGGAGGGGGUAGCGGAAUUCCCAGUGUAGCGGUGAAAUGCGUAGAUAUUGGGAGGAACACCAGUGGCGAAGGCGGCUACCUGGACCGGUUCUGACGCUGAGGCGCGAAAGCGUGGGUAGCAAACAGG